GGGGAAUAUUGGACAAUGGGCGCAAGCCUGAUCCAGCCAUGCCGCGUGAGUGAUGAAGGCCUUAGGGUUGUAAAGCUCUUUUGUCCGGGAAGAUAAUGACUGUACCGGAAGAAUAAGCCCCGGCUAACUUCGUGCCAGCAGCCGCGGUAAUACGAAGGGGGCUAGCGUUGCUCGGAAUCACUGGGCGUAAAGCGCACGUAGGCGGACUCUUAAGUCGGGGGGUGAAAGCCCAGGGCUCAACCCUGGAACUGCCUUCGAUACUGGGAGUCUUGAGUGUGGAAGAGGUUGGUGGAACUGCGAGUGUAGAGGCGAAAUUCGUAGAUAUUCGCAAGAACACCAGUGGCGAAGGCGGCCAACUGGUCCACUACUGACGCUGAGGUGCGAAAGCGUGGGGAGCAAA
Molecule: ribosomal RNA, 400 nt
Filed under: uncultured bacterium
Lineage: Bacteria
Description: bacterial SSU rRNA
Rfam family: Bacterial small subunit ribosomal RNA
Source: RNAcentral